RNAcentral lists this ribosomal RNA (587 nucleotides) under Cryptorhynchini gen. sp. ARC3869. RNAcentral describes it as "SSU rRNA". It matches the Rfam family "Eukaryotic small subunit ribosomal RNA", at positions 6 to 573 of the family's 1831-position model. The record is from RNAcentral. Lineage: Eukaryota; Metazoa; Arthropoda; Insecta; Coleoptera; Curculionidae.
GGUUGAUCCUGCCAGUAGUCAUAUGCUUGUCUCAAAGAUUAAGCCAUGCAUGUCUCAGUACAAGCCAAACUAAGGUGAAACCGCGAAAGGCUCAUUAAAUCAGUUAUGGUUCCUUAGAUCGUACCCACAAUUACUUGGAUAACUGUGGUAAUUCUAGAGCUAAUACAUGCAAACAGAGCUCCGACCGGAGACGGAAGGAGUGCUUUUAUUAGAUCAAAACCAAUCGGUGGCGGGUUCGCUCGUCAUCGUACAACUUGGUGACUCUGAAUAACUUUACGCUGAUCGCACGGUCAUCGCACCGGCGACGCAUCUUUCAAAUGUCUGCCUUAUCAACUGUCGAUGGUAGGUUCUGCGCCUACCAUGGUUGUAACGGGUAACGGGGAAUCAGGGUUCGAUUCCGGAGAGGGAGCCUGAGAAACGGCUACCACAUCCAAGGAAGGCAGCAGGCGCGCAAAUUACCCACUCCCGGCACGGGGAGGUAGUGACGAAAAAUAACGAUACGGGACUCAUCCGAGGCCCCGUAAUCGGAAUGAGUACACUCUAAACCYUUUAACGAGGAUCAAUUGGAGGGUAAGUCUGGUGCCAGC